ACGUACACCUGGAUGUGUUGCACAACCAAGUCUUGCAUUCAUAUCGCGGGAUAAUCCUGCAGGAGGGAGUUCCAUUUUCUCUCGUUCUACAAUACCCAUUCAUGAUAUAACCAUACCACUCCACUCUCUACUGCUGUCCAUUCAUCUGUGCUACCGUGAAAUCCGUUAUGUCUAAACCAGACGAGGCCAGAGAACUAAGUCUUAUAUCAAAACUCGAGCUUAGAAUUGCCCUCGCAGACAGCGAUUCCAAGUUACAGUCUCUUCUCCAGACAUAUCUUGGUCCCCUCCUCCUAAAACUAGCUUCAGAAAGUCUUGCAGUGCGCAACAAAGUCAUUUCUAUCUGCCAGCAUAUCAACACACGAAUCCGGCCAGCAUCUAUCACUCUGCCUAUCGCAGCUCUUCUGAAACAGUUUAAAGAUGUUAAUGCACCGCUGGUGAGACAUUUCGAUCUUAUUUAUAUCAAGCAGGGUCUUGAUCGGAUUCCCGCCAAUGAGCGCAUCGAUCUCAUACCAGAUCUGAUCCAGGGCAUUGCCGGGGUAGGAGGUUCCAUUUCAGCUUCAUCACAAGGCUCCAUCGUGUUCAAUCUCCUACUGAGAUUGCUACCUUUAUUGAAGCUGCCACGAAGAGGUAGCGAAGAAGAUCUAGCACUGAGAACAAAACUAGGUAUCUCGAAUGAAGACGCUGCAUUCCUGGCAAAAUGGUUUUCUAAAAUCCUUCUUUUCUUACCCGGUAGAAAGGAUGCGACGAAAUGUCCCGGCCUUACUCCUUCGGAGUACAGAUUUGUGAACAGAGAUUCACCGCCUGACGAGACUUGGAAUCCGUCGGCAGCUGGUGGUCUUAACUUGAUCGAAACUAAGGUUUCUCUUGCAAAGUUUUUGGCCAGCGGGGCUUUUACCGAUUCUGAGCGCUUUAUCGGUGCUGUCAUUGCCUCUGCUGACCCAAAUAGUCGUCUUUCAGAUGUUGGGGAAGAUAUACUCAAACGUUUCCGUCCAGAUUUGGAAAACGCGGAAGUUGUGGAUGAACUAUUUACACUUUACUUUGGAACUAAAGGGCCGGAAGGGGCCCCACCAGCACGACCAGCGUUACAAGCUAAAAUUCUCGGAUUUCUAAGUAAAUCAGUAAAAGCUACCGCCGAGCCUGAGCGGAUUAAUCAGCUGCUUGAUGAAGGCCUCUUGUCGAAUGAUGAAACGGCUGCCAAGGGUCUUGAAGCGUCGAAGCUCCGGAACCAGAUAUUUUCUUUUGUGACGUGGAUAGCACGUAUGGGUUCUUCCGCGGACUUAAAUGUCGUCGCACCUCGUGCCAUUCAAGGCUUAAGAGAAUUUGUUUCCUACCAGGGAUGGCCUGAUCCUCGCGCUAGCGCACAGAACCUGAGCUCUGCUGAACUUAGUCUUCGAAGUCUUGCGUAUGAAACCAUUGGUGUGCUAGCCCCGAAAAUUGACCGAACUUCCCAGGAUGAUGAGGAACGGAUGUUUGAUCUUGAUCUGCUCCGGUGGCUAUUCACGUCCCUGAGCUCUGACACUUCAAGUGGUCAGAUAUUCGUGAGUAUCGAACAAGCUCUGGGAAGUAUCCUCAACUCUAUCGCAAAUCAUGCAGAUGAAUAUCUUCAAAAUAAAAUCCGUCCCCUUUUAAUCCACCAUAUGAACGCCGAACCCGACACGGAAGACCGCGAUACAGGGUUCCGUAUUGUCCGAAGUACGAGAUUUGCUGCUGUACGAUUUGCGAAUCGGUGCUUGCCGUACUGGGAUGUGCAGGCUCGCUGGAUAGAUCUUAUGGCUAUUGGUGGGGAGUCUAGUGGGAGAUCUGAAAUCAUAGAAGAAGGCCAGAGAGGUCUGGACCCAUACUGGUAUAGGAUGCUUAAUCCCCUCAAGGAGGGAAGUUGGGUAGCUUCGACCGUCAUGGGACCUGAUGUUCCCCCUAGAUAUCGGUUUCCUCGGUUUACAGAAUUAGUACUCUCUCUAUUCAACGAUCCGAGUAGCGAUUAUAUUGAGAUGAAUGAUGGAAAAGUUUUUAUUCCCAUGCGAUUUUCCGACACCUACAUAACCUCGUUUGCACCAGCUAUUACUUUUAUUCGCAAUAUUCUCCUUUGCGAAUCCCAUCAAUAUGCUGGCUCUCCCCUGAGUGUCGAACCGGAUUGGGAAUACCGCCUUGAUGUGGCUAUCUCAACAAAGGAAGAUUCAAGGGCGAGCCUUAAGGCUUACCUUGAACAAUGCGAUCGUGCGCCAACUUUUGAGUUCUUGAAGGCCUCUCUAGCCGGUCUCCUCUGGAAGCAUGGUCAAGGGUUAGGCCGCUGUGGUAUUCAUUUUGUUGAAAUUUGCGCGCUCGCAUCUGACAACCUUCUGGCUCCUCUCGCCAUUCACGCGUCAUCCCUUAAAGAUCCUAUACUGUCAAAUAACCUUGCGAAUCAGGACAUAGCAGCACAGGCAUUAGGCAUCUUAGCAUCUCACGUGGAUUAUCCUCCCCCCCAGUUGCAACAAUUGUUUGAAUCUUUUGUCGUUUUGAUUGAGGGUUGGAAAACUGCGGUCGGUCAAGGCAUUAAUCAGUGUCGAGGUGCGUUGAUGGCGUUGACUCAUCUAUCCUCCCGCCUUUUCUUUCGGGGUCGACUAGAUUCUAUAUCCGAAAACCGGGUCCAAAGGCUUGUAGAUAUCACGUUUGAUAUGUUGGACAAUUCUAGAGAUCUCGCACUCAAGGAGGCUGCUCAGGUGUCGAUCGGGCAACUGAGUCUCGCAUCUAUUUUACGCCCCACAUCGUUCCCUGGGGAAAAUAAAGAUGAGGCUGUGAAUAAAGUGAUAAGAAAACU
This 2797-nucleotide small RNA is filed under the name Histoplasma capsulatum var. duboisii H88. RNAcentral describes it as "Histoplasma capsulatum H88 hypothetical RNA". Lineage: Eukaryota; Fungi; Ascomycota; Eurotiomycetes; Onygenales; Ajellomycetaceae. The record is from RNAcentral.